RNAcentral lists this ribosomal RNA (858 nucleotides) under Urnula sp. MZ-2022a. RNAcentral's name for it is "partial large subunit ribosomal RNA". It matches the Rfam family "Eukaryotic large subunit ribosomal RNA", at positions 68 to 940 of the family's 3401-position model. Lineage: Eukaryota; Fungi; Ascomycota; Pezizomycetes; Pezizales; Sarcosomataceae. The record is from RNAcentral.
ACAGGGAUUGCCUCAGUAACUGCGAGUGAAGCGGCAAGAGCUCAAAUUUGAAAUCUGGUACCUUUGGGUGCUCGAGUGUAAUUUGGAGAGGCAACUUCGGAGGAGGCGCUGGCCUAAGUUCCUUGGAACAGGACGUCACAGAGGGUGAGAAUCCCGUGCUUGGCUGGGCUGUCCUCCUUCAUGUGAAGUGUCUUCGACGAGUCGAGUUGUUUGGGAAUGCAGCUCAAAAUGGGUGGUAAACUCCAUCUAAGGCUAAAUAUUGGCGAGAGACCGAUAGCGCACAAGUAGAGUGAUCGAAAGAUGAAAAGCACUUUGAAAAGAGAGUUAAACAGUACGUGAAAUUGUUGAAAGGGAAGCGCUUGAGACCAGACUCGGUGGCAGGUGAUCAGCGGUUGCUUUUGCUCCGUGCACUUGCCUGCUAUCGGGCCAGCAUCAGUUGCGGCGGUGGGAUAAAGCCUCAGGGAAUGUGGCUCCCUUCGGGGAGUGUUAUAGCCUUGAGGGUAAUGCCACCUGCUGCGACUGAGGACCGCGCUUCGGCUAGGAUGCUGGCGUAAUGGUCUUCAGCGACCCGUCUUGAAACACGGACCAAGGAGUCUAACAUCUAUGCGAGUGUUCGGGUGUAAAACCCCUACGCGUAAUGAAAGUGAACGGAGGUGGGAACUCCUUGGAGUGCACCAUCGACCGAUCCUGAUGUCUUCGGAUGGAUUUGAGUAGGAGCAUAGCUGUUGGGACCCGAAAGAUGGUGAACUAUGCCUGAAUAGGGUGAAGCCAGAGGAAACUCUGGUGGAGGCUCGCAGCGGUUCUGACGUGCAAAUCGAUCGUCAAAUUUGGGUAUAGGGGGCGAAAGACUAAUCGAAC